This 154-nucleotide non-coding RNA is filed under the name Scleropages formosus (Asian bonytongue). Its description in RNAcentral is "Eukaryotic large subunit ribosomal RNA". It matches the Rfam family "Eukaryotic large subunit ribosomal RNA", at positions 2833 to 2984 of the family's 3401-position model. Lineage: Eukaryota; Metazoa; Chordata; Actinopteri; Osteoglossiformes; Osteoglossidae. The record is from Rfam by way of RNAcentral.
GCAUUGUGGCAGCCAAACGUUCAUAGUGACGUUGUUUUUUUGAUCCUUCGAUGUUGGCUCUUCCUAUUGUUGUGAAGCAGAAUUCACCAAGCAUUGGAUUGUUUACCCACUAAUAGGGAACGUGAGCUGGGUUUAGACUGUGGUGAGACAGGUU